CCUCCUUUCUUCCUCCUUUUUUCCUCUUUCCCCCUUUUGUCCCCCCUGCUGCCGUCACGCCGCGUGAGUGAAGAAGUCAUUCGUGAUGUAAAGCUCUAUCAGCAGGGAAGAAAAUGACGGUACCUGACUAAGAAGCCCCGGCUAACUACGUGCCAGCAGCCGCGGUAAUACGUAGGGGGCAAGCGUUAUCCGGAUUUACUGGGUGUAAAGGGAGCGUAGACGGCGACGCAAGUCUGAAGUGAAAUGCCAGUGCUCAACACUGGAACUGCUUUGGAAACUGUGUGGCUAGAGUGCAGGAGAGGUAAGUGGAAUUCCUAGUGUAGCGGUGAAAUGCGUAGAUAUUAGGAGGAACACCAGUGGCGAAGGCGGCUUACUGGACUGUAACUGACGUUGAGGCUCGAAGGCGUGGGGAGCAAACAGGAUUAGAUACCCCGGUAGUC
This 440-nucleotide ribosomal RNA is filed under the name uncultured bacterium. RNAcentral's name for it is "partial 16S ribosomal RNA". It matches the Rfam family "Bacterial small subunit ribosomal RNA", at positions 377 to 795 of the family's 1533-position model. The record is from RNAcentral.